GCUGCGGAGGUCUGCUAUCCAUGCAGUCGAGCGGUACAGGAGAAAGCUUGCUUUCUUGCUGACGAGCGGCGGACGGGUGAUAAUGUAUGGGGAUCUGCCCGAUAGAGGGGGAUAACUACUGGAAACGGUGGCUACUACCGCAUAAUGUCUACGGACCAAAGCAGGGGCUCUUCGGACCUUGCACUAUCGGAUGAACCCAUAUGGGAUUACCUAGUAGGGGGGGAAAAGGCUCCCCUAGGCGACGAUCUCUACCUGGACUGAGAGGAUGAUCACCCACACUGGGACUGACACACGGCCCAAACUCCUACGGGAGGCAGCAGUGGGGCAUAUUGCCCAAUGGGCGCAAGCCUGAUGCAGCCAUGCCGCGUGUAUGAAAAAGGCCUUAGGGUUGUAAAGUUCUUCUCCGCGGGGAGGAAGGUGAUAAGGUUAAUACCCUUGUCAAUUGACGUUACCCGCAGAAAAACACCGUCUAACUCCGUGCCAGCAGCCGCGGUAAUACGGAGGGGGCAAGCGUUAUUCGAAAUUACUGGGCGUAAAGCGCACGCAGGCGGUCAAUUAAUUCAGAUGUGAAAGCCCCGAGCUUAACUUGGGAAAUUGCAUCUGAAACUGGUUGGCUAGAGUCUUGUAGAGGGGGGGUAAAAUUUCCAUGUGUAGCGAUGAAAUGCGUAAGAUGUGGAGGAAUACCCGGGGACGAGGGGCCCCCC
Molecule: ribosomal RNA, 704 nt
Filed under: uncultured Pseudomonas sp.
Lineage: Bacteria; Pseudomonadati; Pseudomonadota; Gammaproteobacteria; Pseudomonadales; Pseudomonadaceae
Description: bacterial SSU rRNA
Rfam family: Bacterial small subunit ribosomal RNA
Source: RNAcentral